Molecule: non-coding RNA, 117 nt
Filed under: Nomascus leucogenys (northern white-cheeked gibbon)
Lineage: Eukaryota; Metazoa; Chordata; Mammalia; Primates; Hylobatidae
Source: Rfam by way of RNAcentral
GCUGGGUGUGGUGGCUCAUGCCUGUAAUCCCAGCACUUUGGGAGGCAGAGGCAGGUGGAUCACCUGAGGUCAGGAGUUCAAGACCAGCCUGGCCAACAUGGUGAAACCCUGUCUCUA